RNAcentral lists this ribosomal RNA (504 nucleotides) under uncultured bacterium. Its description in RNAcentral is "partial 16S ribosomal RNA". It matches the Rfam family "Bacterial small subunit ribosomal RNA", at positions 30 to 523 of the family's 1533-position model. The record is from RNAcentral.
AUUGAACGCUGGCGGCAGGCCUAACACAUGCAAGUCGAGCGGUAGCACAGAGAGCUUGCUCUCGGGUGACGAGCGGCGGACGGGUGAGUAAUGUCUGGGAAACUGCCUGAUGGAGGGGGAUAACUACUGGAAACGGUAGCUAAUACCGCAUAAUGUCGCAAGACCAAAGAGGGGGACCUUCGGGCCUCUUGCCAUCAGAUGUGCCCAGAUGGGAUUAGCUAGUAGGUGGGGUAAUGGCUCACCUAGGCGACGAUCCCUAGCUGGUCUGAGAGGAUGACCAGCCAACCUGGAACUGAGACACGGUACAGACUCCUACGGGAGGCAGCAGUGGGGAAUAUUGCACAAUGGGCGCAAGCCUGAUGCAGCCAUGCCGCGUGUGUGAAGAAGGCCUUCGGGUUGUAAAGCACUUUCAGCGAGGAGGAAGGCAUUAAGGUUAAUAACCUUAGUGAUUGACGUUACUCGCAGAAGAAGCACCGGCUAACUCCGUGCCAGCCGCCGCCGUAA